AGAGAGAGACAUGCGCGCAUAUCAAUAAGCGGAGGAAAAGAAACUAACAAGGAUUCCCUUAGUAACGGGCGAGUGAAGCGGGAAGAGCUCAAAUUUGAAAUCUUCAAGGUUUUACCUUGACGAAUUGUAGUUUAAAGAAGUGUUUUCUGCUGAAGUUUUGGUAAAAGUUCUUUGGAAUAGGACAUCAUAGAGGGUGAGAAUCCCGUAUUUGACCAUUAUUUUCAGCUUUGUGAUACACUUUCAAAGAGUCGGAUUGUUUGGGAAUGCAGUCCAAAAUGGGUGGUAAAUUUCAUCUAAAGCUAAAUAUUGGCGAGAGACCGAUAGCGAACAAGUACCGUGAGGGAAAGAUGAAAAGAACUUUGAAAAGAGAGUUAAACAGUACGUGAAAUUGUCAAAAGGGAAGCGUUUGACACCAGUGUUGUUUUCUCGAAAAUCAAUUAAAAAUGGCUCGAUUUUGUAUUGCUUGAGACCUUAAAAGCUCACUGUACAUUUUUCGUGUCUUUUUUAAUGCACUUUUCGUUUAACAAGUCAACAUCAGUUUCUUUUGUUGUAAAAGGGUCAUUGGAAGGUGGCUUUCUUUUCGGAGAAAGUGUUUAUAGCCUUUGGCCUCUGCAAUCGAAGAGACUGAGGUCUGCAGCGUAGACUCUUCGGGGUUAGAUACAUUUGUGCUAAGUUAUAGCUUUUUAUAGACAACUUGUUGACUAUAAUUAGUCUUGUAGCUUACUCGCUUAUGCUAUUUUACCUACGCUUAGGAUGUUGAAGAUGUAGCACAUCAU
Molecule: ribosomal RNA, 776 nt
Filed under: uncultured Neocallimastigales
Lineage: Eukaryota; Fungi; Neocallimastigomycota; Neocallimastigomycetes; Neocallimastigales
Description: partial large subunit ribosomal RNA
Rfam family: Eukaryotic large subunit ribosomal RNA
Source: RNAcentral